GAUGAAGAACGCAGCGAAAUGCGAUAAGUAAUGUGAAUUGCAGAAUUCAGUGAAUCAUCGAAUCUUUGAACGCACCUUGCGCUCCUUCGUAUUCCAAGGAGCAUGCCUGUUUGAGUAUCAUUAAAUUAUCAACUGUGCCAAUUUGGUUACAGAUUGGAUGUGGGAGAUUCUUUUUGCAGGCCUUUGACUUCUCUUUGAGAAAAAAAAUAAAAGGUCGGCUCUCCUGAAAUGUAUUAGCAGUGCCUUUGUUGGUUCAUUAGGUGUGAUAAAUUGUCUACAUCUUCGCAUGAUACCUUCAUUUGUAAAGGUCAUAUUGCUUCUAAAUUGUCUUUGAUUGGACGCAAAACAUAUAUAAUGUUUGACAAACUUGAUCUCAAAUCAGGCAGGACUACCCGCUGAACUUAAGCAUAUCAAUAAGCGGAGGA
Molecule: unclassified non-coding RNA, 425 nt
Filed under: soil metagenome
Description: partial contains 5.8S ribosomal RNA, internal transcribed spacer 2, and large subunit ribosomal RNA
Rfam family: 5.8S ribosomal RNA (bases 1-120)
Source: RNAcentral